GGGGGAUAUUGCGCAAUGGGGGCAACCCUGACGCAGCAACGCCGCGUGAAGGAUGAAGGUUUUCGGAUUGUAAACUUCUUUUAUUAAGGACGAAAAAUGACGGUACUUAAUGAAUAAGCUCCGGCUAACUACGUGCCAGCAGCCGCGGUAAUACGUAGGGAGCAAGCGUUGUCCGGAUUUACUGGGUGUAAAGGGUGCGUAGGCGGCUUUGCAAGUCAGAUGUGAAAUCUAUGGGCUCAACCCAUAAACUGCAUUUGAAACUGUAGAGCUUGAGUGAAGUAGAGGCAGGCGGAAUUCCCCGUGUAGCGGUGAAAUGCGUAGAGAUGGGGAGGAACACCAGUGGCGAAGGCGGCCUGCUGGGCUUUAACUGACGCUGAGGCACGAAAGCGUGGGUAGCAAACAGGAUUAGAUACCCUGGUAGUCCACGCUGUAAACGAUGAUUACUAGGUGUGGGGGGUCUGACCCCUUCCGUGCCGGAGUUAACACAAUAAGUAAUCCACCUGGGGAGUACGGCCGCAAGGUUGAAACUCAAAGGAAUUGACGGGGGCCCGCACAAGCAGUGGAGUAUGUGGUUUAAUUCGAAGCAACGCGAAGAACCUUACCAGGUCUUGACAUCCAACUAACGAAGUAGAGAUACAUUAGGUGCCCUUCGGGGAAAGUUGAGACAGGUGGUGCAUGGUUGUCGUCAGCUCGUGUCGUGAGAUGUUGGGUUAAGUCCCGCAACGAGCGCAACCCUUGCUAUUAGUUGCUACGCAAGAGCACUCUAAUAGGACUGCCGUUGACAAAACGGAGGAAGGUGGGGACGACGUCAAAUCAUCAUGCCCCUUAUGACCUGGGCUACACACGUACUACAAUGGAUGUUAGCAGAGGGAAGCAAGACAGCGAUGUGGAGCAAACUCCUAAAAACAUUCUCAGUUCAGAUUGCAGGCUGCAACCCGCCUGCAUGAAGAUGGAAUUGCUAGUAAUCGCGGAUCAGCAUGCCGCGGUGAAUACGUUCCCG
Molecule: ribosomal RNA, 1000 nt
Filed under: uncultured organism
Description: bacterial SSU rRNA
Rfam family: Bacterial small subunit ribosomal RNA
Source: RNAcentral